Molecule: ribosomal RNA, 251 nt
Filed under: uncultured bacterium
Lineage: Bacteria
Description: partial 16S ribosomal RNA
Rfam family: Bacterial small subunit ribosomal RNA
Source: RNAcentral
UACGUAGGCAGCGAGCGUUGUUCGGAAUUACUGGGCGUAAAGAGUGUGUAGGCGGUGCUCUAAGUUCGGUGUGAAAUCUCCCGGCUCAACUGGAGGGUGCGCCGAAUACUGAAUGACUAGAGUGCGGGAGAGGAAAGUGGAAUUCCUGGUGUAGCGGUGAAAUGCGUAGAUAUCAGGAGGAACACCGGUGGUGUAGACGGCUUCUGGACCGUAACUGACGCUGAGACACGAAAGCGUGGGUAGCAAACAGG